Molecule: long non-coding RNA, 1137 nt
Filed under: Homo sapiens (human)
Lineage: Eukaryota; Metazoa; Chordata; Mammalia; Primates; Hominidae
Description: non-protein coding LINC01956:14
Source: RNAcentral
ACUUCCGGUCAGCGCAGCCCAGGCCGCAGGAGGGUACGGCCCUGGACCCCCUCUCUCCAGUGGGGGCUGGAGAUGGGAGCGCAACUGGGGCUCCGCCGAGGUCUCUGAGGGCACUUCACCCCCGCCCCCGACCCCAGGAACUGCGAAACCCCAAAUCUUCUUGCCCACCGCGGGGCGCAGGUCCUGCCCACCCGCUCUCCAGGGACGCGCGCAGAAAGGCAGUCCCGGCCGCCUCCCCGCGCCAGGGUCCGGGCAAGCGUCUGAAAGCUGUGCUUGGGCCGCAGCUCCAGCCAUCGCCCCUCACCCCCGGUUCUCCCGGGCCACGUUCAUUGCACAGUUUCGAUUUGUUUAGGCCGGGGUCUCCUCUUCUUUCCUCAACAUCUUUUUCUGUGGGCUCCCCGCCUCCGUAUUCCUCCUCAUCCUCUGCUCCAAGGUUUCCGUUUUUUGCACCGGAGGCCGCCCUUCUGCGACCAGCCUUCUCCGGCCGCUCGGACUCGGCCUCUGCAGCGGGGUGCACCCGGGCGUCCCUUCGGCUCCCGGCCCUCCCUCUCUCCUCGUCGCCCAGCCCUGCCUCCAACUUUGCGCCCCCGGCUGCCCCGCGCCGCGGCUCAACUGGACAUCCGAACGCUCCGACUGUCCGCUCCCCUCCCCUCCCCCGGCCGACACGUGGGGACCAGCGCUGACCUUGGGUGAGGCCACGCUGUCCCCCGCUGCUCUCCAGUCACCCCUGUAUCCCUUUGACUCUUGGGCUUCCGAGUAGGGGCUCCCGGAGUAUUACCAGGGAAAAGGGGAGCGCCCUUCCCCUGGUAAUGAGAGUAGCCACGCAAUGUCGGCUGCGCAAACUGGGCCUCAGAGCGGCCAGGCCAGGGUCAAACCAGGAAGAGGGGGAGGGGUGGACAGCAAGGCUGAAGAGACCUGACUUUAUUUGUGUUGCUUCAACUGGUCCUGAAUGGUUACACGAGGCGCGCGCUCUUGCACACACACCGCGGGCAGCCCAAACCCUCGCUGGCUCGGCCCGCCGGCUCCUCGCCCUGCCAGUCCUGAGCCGGCUCUGAGCCACUGGAGUCAGAGGGCCCGGGCGCCUGCCUUCUCGGUGCGGGCUGGGGAGGACCUGCUCGCGAAGGGCUGCCAACUGAA